Molecule: ribosomal RNA, 242 nt
Filed under: uncultured bacterium
Lineage: Bacteria
Description: partial 16S ribosomal RNA
Rfam family: Bacterial small subunit ribosomal RNA
Source: RNAcentral
UGGGUAACCUGCCUCAAAGAGGGGAAUAGCCUCCCGAAAGGGAGAUUAAUACCGCAUAAUAUGUUUUAGUCGCAUGACUUAAACAUCAAAGGAUUUUCUUUUAGAAAUUCCACUUUGAGAUGGACCCCGCGGCGCAUUAGCUAGUUGGUGAGGUAACGGCUCACCAAGGCAACGAUGCGUAGCCGACCUGAGAGGGUNAUCGGCCACAUUGGAACUGAGACACGGUCCAGCUCCGUAGGACG